RNAcentral lists this ribosomal RNA (681 nucleotides) under Mycobacterium sp. L1761. RNAcentral's name for it is "bacterial SSU rRNA". It matches the Rfam family "Bacterial small subunit ribosomal RNA", at positions 48 to 744 of the family's 1533-position model. The record is from RNAcentral. Lineage: Bacteria; Bacillati; Actinomycetota; Actinomycetes; Mycobacteriales; Mycobacteriaceae.
UUAACACAUGCAAGUCGAACGGAAAGGCCCUUUCGGGGGUACUCGAGUGGCGAACGGGUGAGUAACACGUGGGUGAUCUGCCCUGCACUUUGGGAUAAGCCUGGGAAACUGGGUCUAAUACCGAAUAGGACUCCGGGAUGCAUGUUCCGGGGUGGAAAGCUUUUGCGGUGUGGGAUGGGCCCGCGGCCUAUCAGCUUGUUGGUGGGGUGAUGGCCUACCAAGGCGACGACGGGUAGCCGGCCUGAGAGGGUGUCCGGCCACACUGGGACUGAGAUACGGCCCAGACUCCUACGGGAGGCAGCAGUGGGGAAUAUUGCACAAUGGGCGCAAGCCUGAUGCAGCGACGCCGCGUGGGGGAUGACGGCCUUCGGGUUGUAAACCCCUUUCAGCACAGACGAAGCGCAAGUGACGGUAUGUGCAGAAGAAGCACCGGCCAACUACGUGCCAGCAGCCGCGGUAAUACGUAGGGUGCGAGCGUUGUCCGGAAUUACUGGGCGUAAAGAGCUCGUAGGUGGUUUGUCGCGUUGUUCGUGAAAACUCACAGCUCAACUGUGGGCGUGCGGGCGAUACGGGCAGACUGGAGUACUGCAGGGGAGACUGGAAUUCCUGGUGUAGCGGUGGAAUGCGCAGAUAUCAGGAGGAACACCGGUGGCGAAGGCGGGUCUCUGGGCAGUAACUGAC